AGGGUAAAGCUAGCCGGGAGGCCUACACAUGCAGUCGAGGGGUAACGGCAGUAGCUUGCUACUAGACGACGACCGGCGCACGGGUGAGUAACGCGUAUGUAAUCUGCCUUGUACAGAGGGAUAGCCCAGAGAAAUUUGGAUUAAUACCUCAUAGUAUUACCGAAUCGCAUGAUUCGGUAAUUAAAGCUCCGGCGGUACAAGAUGAACAUGCGUGACAUUAGCUAGUUGGUAAGGUAACGGCUUACCAAGGCUACGAUGUCUAGGGGUUCUGAGAGGAUGAUCCCCCACACUGGUACUGAGACACGGACCAGACUCCUACGGGAGGCAGCAGUGAGGAAUAUUGGUCAAUGGACGCAAGUCUGAACCAGCCAUCCCGCGUGAAGGAUGACUGCCCUAUGGGUUGUAAACUUCUUUUAUAUGCAAAUAAACCUACUUUCGUGAAAGUAGCUGAAGGUAGCAUAUGAAUAAACACCGGCUAACUCCGUGCCAGCAGCCGCGGUAAUACGGAGGGUGUAAGCGUUAUCCGGAUUUAUUGGGUUUAAAGGGUACGUAGGCGGUAAUAUAAGUCAGUGGUGAAAUCCUGCAGCUCAACUGUAGAACUGCCAUUGAAACUGUAUUACUUGAGUAUACUUGAGGUAGGCGGAAUGAGUAGUGUAGCGGUGAAAUGCUUAGAUAUUACUCAGAACACCGAUUGCGAAGGCAGCUUACUAAGGUAUAACUGACGCUGAUGUACGAAAGCGUGGGGAGCGAACAGGAUUAGAUACCCUGGUAGUCCACGCCGUAAACGAUGAUUACUCGCUGUUGGCGAUACACAGUCAGUGGCCAAGCGAAAGUUUUAAGUAUCCACCUGGGGAGUACGCUCGCAAGAGUGAACUCAAAUGAAUUGACGGAAAGGCGAAU
RNAcentral lists this ribosomal RNA (900 nucleotides) under uncultured bacterium. Its description in RNAcentral is "bacterial SSU rRNA". It matches the Rfam family "Bacterial small subunit ribosomal RNA", at positions 26 to 926 of the family's 1533-position model. The record is from RNAcentral.